GGGAAUGUGGCUUAGUGGUAGAGUGCUUGCCUUGCAUGCAUGAGGCCCUGGGUUCAAUUCCUCAGCACCA
Molecule: transfer RNA, 70 nt
Filed under: Dipodomys ordii (Ord's kangaroo rat)
Lineage: Eukaryota; Metazoa; Chordata; Mammalia; Rodentia; Heteromyidae
Rfam family: tRNA
About the family: Transfer RNA (tRNA) molecules are approximately 80 nucleotides in length. Their secondary structure includes four short double-helical elements and three loops (D, anti-codon, and T loops).
Source: Rfam by way of RNAcentral